This 1346-nucleotide ribosomal RNA is filed under the name uncultured bacterium. RNAcentral describes it as "bacterial SSU rRNA". It matches the Rfam family "Bacterial small subunit ribosomal RNA", at positions 28 to 1381 of the family's 1533-position model. The record is from RNAcentral.
GACGAACGCUGGCGGCGUGCUUAACACAUGCAAGUCGAACGGAAAGGCCCUGCUUUUGUGGGGUGCUCGAGUGGCGAACGGGUGAGUAACACGUGAGUAACCUGCCCUUGACUUUGGGAUAACUUCAGGAAACUGGGGCUAAUACCGGAUAGGAGCUCCUGCUGCAUGGUGGGGGUUGGAAAGUUUCGGCGGUUGGGGAUGGACUCGCGGCUUAUCAGCUUGUUGGUGGGGUAGUGGCUUACCAAGGCUUUGACGGGUAGCCGGCCUGAGAGGGUGGCCGGCCACAUUGGGACUGAGAUACGGCCCAGACUCCUACGGGAGGCAGCAGUGGGGAAUAUUGCACAAUGGGCGGAAGCCUGAUGCAGCAACGCCGCGUGCGGGAUGACGGCCUUCGGGUUGUAAACCGCUUUCGCCUGUGACGAAGCGUGAGUGACGGUAAUGGGUAAAGAAGCACCGGCUAACUACGUGCCAGCAGCCGCGGUGAUACGUAGGGUGCGAGCGUUGUCCGGAUUUAUUGGGCGUAAAGGGCUCGUAGGUGGUUGAUCGCGUCGGAAGUGUAAUCUUGGGGCUUAACCCUGAGCGUGCUUUCGAUACGGGUUGACUUGAGGAAGGUAGGGGAGAAUGGAAUUCCUGGUGGAGCGGUGGAAUGCGCAGAUAUCAGGAGGAACACCAGUGGCGAAGGCGGUUCUCUGGGCCCUUCCUGACGCUGAGGAGCGAAAGCGUGGGGAGCGAACAGGCUUAGAUACCCUGGUAGUCCACGCUGUAAACGGUGGGUACUAGGUGUGGGGUCCAUUCCACGGGUUCCGUGCCGUAGCUAACGCUUUAAGUACCCCGCCUGGGGAGUACGGCCGCAAGGCUAAAACUCAAAGGAAUUGACGGGGCCCCGCACAAGCGGCGGAGCAUGCGGAUUAAUUCGAUGCAACGCGUAGAACCUUACCUGGGUUUGACAUGGAUCGGGAGUGCUCAGAGAUGGGUGUGCCUCUUUUGGGGUCGGUUCACAGGUGGUGCAUGCCUGUCGUCAGCUCGUGUCGUGAGAUGUUGGGUUAAGUCCCGCAACGAGCGCAACCCUUGUUCACUGUUGCCAGCACGUUAUGGUGGGGACUCAGUGGAGACCGCCGGGGUCAACUCGGAGGAAGGUGGGGAUGACGUCAAGUCCUCAUGCCCCUUAUGUCCAGGGCUUCACGCAUGCUACAAUGGCUGGUACAGAGAGUGGCGAGCCUGUGAGGGUGAGCGAAUCUCGGAAAGCCGGUCUCAGUUCGGAUUGGGGUCUGCAACUCGACCUCAUGAAGUCGGAGUCGCUAGUAAUCGCAGAUCAGCAACGCUGCGGUGAAUACGUUCCCGGGGCU